Molecule: long non-coding RNA, 1938 nt
Organism: Myotis brandtii (Brandt's bat)
Lineage: Eukaryota; Metazoa; Chordata; Mammalia; Chiroptera; Vespertilionidae
Exons: 2
Source: RefSeq, a predicted model, not a curated record
UCCGGCAGCCGGCUUCCCAGGGCCAGUCUCCCCACCGCCAUCUUGGACCUGGACACCCACCCAGCCAGGGGCCCCUGAACUGUUAGAGCCGCGCAAGUCAGGUUCAAGUCCUUGCCCAGACUCUUCGCAGCUGUGUGGCCUCGGGCAAGUUGCUCAACCUCUCUGGCUCUGUGCACGCACCUGAAAAGUAGGAGUGAUUAUUGCACUACCUUUGACCAAGGGUCACAGAGUUGCCAAUUCUGGAGGCCCGGCGUGUGAAAUCAGUCUCACUGGCCGGAAGCCAGGAGUCAGCAGGGCCGGUCCCUCCUGGAGAACCUGCGUCCUUGUCUCUUCUACCUUCCGGAAACCACCCGCCUUCUUCCCUUCAGGGCCCGUCCUGGCAGCAGCCCAACCGCUGGCCUCUGUCGCAUCCCUCCCGCCUCUGACCCGCCAGCCUCCCUUUUAUAAGGACGGGUGACUGUCUACAGGACCCACCUGGGUGACCCAGGAUUCCCUCCCCAUCUCAAGACCCUUCACCUACUCACACCUGCACUCUCUUUUUCCAUGUCAGGCCACACCCACAGGUUCUGUGGAUUAGGACGUGGUUGUCUUUUGAAGGCUGUUACUCAGGGGUUUGGUUUGGGACAUACUGCGCCAAGAUGCCCACGAGGUAUGCAGGGAGGAAUGCCGAGAGGGCGGUUUGAUGAAGGAAUGUGGAUGCCAGGGAGAAGCCCAGGCUCGUGAGUGUGUGAACACCAUUGGAAGCUGUGGAACUGGAGAAGACGGGCAGAGACACAAGGAGAGAAAAGAAAAUGAAGAGAUUAAGCCAGGAGGCCCGGCCUCUGAAUGUCAGGAGCUCCACAAAGAAAAACAACACAAAACACAGAAAACAGAAGAAAUGAAGUCAUCAAAGAAAAUGUUAAGGAAAACUCGAAGAACCAAAGGCUGUGGACACCUUGAUCACAAGAAAGCCCACCAAGUUGCCAGCACAAUUAAUAAAGAUCCACGCCAGGCGCUUCAUCAUGAAAGUUUGAGUCAACAGGGAUAAAGAACAGACCCAAGGAUCCACACCGAACAAAAGCAGAGCAUCUUCAGAGGCUGCGGCCGCAGGACGGCUCCACAGCCCCUGGAUGCAAGGGGACAAUGGCACGAACGCCUUUAAAAUUCCCCUGUGAUGCUCUCCAACCCAGAGUUCUCUACCCAGCCACACUACCAGUCAACUGUGGGCACAGAACAAAGACACUCUCAGAAUGCAGGAUCUUAACAAAAUGACUUCCCAGUGCCCUCAAGGAGCUACUGGAAGAUGCUGUUUGCCACGAACGAGAGGCAAACUCAGGAAAGCAGAGAAUAGGAUCCAGGAAACAGCUAUUCCGGGCGAGAGAUGGGGCAAGCAGACUUCCCAGGACAACAGCGAAGGGAAGUCCCCGGGCAACAGUCGUGCAGCAGAGUAGAGAGCAACCCAUCCAGACGGAGGCAUAGUAACUCCUAGAAGAACGAAAAAUUAUAGAGGAAAGAAAAUGUAAUCUUAGUAGAUAUUUCUGCGGUCGUUAAAUAUACCUGUUCCUUCAAAUCUGGCCUUCCGUAAACCCAUUCACUACCAUUAACGGGGCUUACUCAGAAAAGAGGGGCAGACACCGACUACUCAAAGCCUAUGGGACAUUUUCAAGAACUUGGGUUUAUCGAGGUAUAAUUUGUAUACAGUGACAUUUUUCCUUCUGACGUGUACGGUUUGAUGAGUUUUGAAAAAUGUAAAUAGUUCUGCAACCACCACCACUAUCGGGAUAUAGAACAUGUCCAUUACCCAACACAGCUCCCUCCGUCUCUGUCACAGCCAGUCCCCCACCUCUUCCGGCCGCGAAUGAUCUCAUGUCUGCCCUGUGCCUACGCUGUCCCUAUAACAGCCCACAAUGUCGUAGGAACGGAAUAAUAAAGUAUGUCUUCUUUUGCGUCCAACUCCCU